Molecule: ribosomal RNA, 253 nt
Filed under: uncultured bacterium
Lineage: Bacteria
Description: partial 16S ribosomal RNA
Rfam family: Bacterial small subunit ribosomal RNA
Source: RNAcentral
UACGUAGGGUGCGAGCGUUGCCCGGAUUUAUUGGGCGUAAAGGGCGCGUAGGCGGCCACGCACGUCCGUUGUGAAAUCGCCCGGCUCAACUGGGCGGGGUCGGCGGAUACGGCGUGGCUGGAGCAAGCUAGGGGGCAAUGGAAUUCCCGGUGUAGUGGUGGAAUGCGUAGAUAUCGGGAGGAACGCCAGUGGCGAAGGCGGUUGCCUGGAGCUUUGCUGACGCUGAGGCGCGAAAGCGUGGGGAGCGAUCCGG